GAGGGCAGUGAGUAUAAAUCAUGAACCUGGCUAAGUAUUUUAUUUCUUAUUGGAUUCUUGACUGUUUCUUACUUUCAUCAUUCUGUGAGUCAUGACUAACAGUGCUUCUGCUCAUCUACAGUAAUUGAUUCUGAGAGAAAUUUCUCCAAGGACUCCUGCAGCUCUCCUUUGAACAUAUGAAGAGGGAACAUUCUUUCAGUCCCAGAAGCUGCUGAAGCAGAGUUGGAGAACCCCAGACUGAAGGGCUUUGAUUUCACCCUGUACAUCCAAGGGCACAAGGAUCAUAUGAACAAACUAUGCUAGAAACUGCUAUGAGAAGACUGUCCCUUUUGACCUGCGUGACGUCUAACAUUCCAUCCCUCCUUAAGGCUGGAGUGCAAUGGCGUGAUCUCAGCUUACUGCAACCUCUGCCUCCCAGGUUCAAGUGAUUCUCCUGCCUCAGCCUCCCCAGUAGCUGGGAUUACAGGCAUGAGGUGAAAUUGCAUUUCCUUGCCCCUUUGAAGUUACGCGGCCGAGCAAAUGUGUGCGACAGUGCUGUGCUUCACUUGCAGGCAGAGUUUCAAAGCUGUGUGUGUCUCCUCUCCCCUCAUCCUUUCUCAGCCUGGAUCUCCAGCUGACCAGCUCUGAAGCAGAGGCCCCUAAAACCCACAGUAGACAUGCAGAGUGAGUGAGAAGGGAACCUCUGUGGUUAUAAACUGCUAACACCAUGGAGUUAAAUGAUACCACAGAAUAGUCUAUUUUGAGUGAAUAUAUAGAUUAAGUAAUGAUUUUUAAUGAUAUAAGUAAAAAAGCAAACUAUCAGCAAAUUAUAUGUAUUAUGAACAAAGAUGUAAUG
Molecule: long non-coding RNA, 835 nt
Organism: Callithrix jacchus (white-tufted-ear marmoset)
Lineage: Eukaryota; Metazoa; Chordata; Mammalia; Primates; Cebidae
Source: RefSeq, a predicted model, not a curated record